Molecule: long non-coding RNA, 1171 nt
Organism: Diachasmimorpha longicaudata
Lineage: Eukaryota; Metazoa; Arthropoda; Insecta; Hymenoptera; Braconidae
Exons: 3
Source: RefSeq, a predicted model, not a curated record
GUUACAACUCUUAAUUCGCUUCGUAAAAACGAUUCUCACACGGAGAGAAAAAUUAUUCAAAAAUUAUGUACUUGUUCCGUAAUCUGCCAGCAACAACAAUAUUCGGUAAAAAUUACGAAACAGUUACCCACUUUUUCAGUGCACCUUCAGGAAAAAAUCUAAAACGUUUCAGAAAAAGUGUGAAACGUUCAGUGAAAAAUACGUAACUGUUCCGUAAUUUUUAGUAAAUACUAUUUUGACUGGCAGUUUACCGAAUAGCCAAGUAUGUUUUCAAAAAUUUUUCUCUCCGUGCAUGGAAUUUUAUUUAUUUAUUUGAGUUUGCUGAAACCUAUAGGUUUAUAAAUCUGCAAACAUGUAUUUACAAAAGUACCUCAUGUUAGGAAAUUUAGUUUUUCUUUAUCAUAUGUUCAGAGGUUAAGCAGUUAUAAAUUUAUAUUACAUUUUUUUAUAAAAUUGUCUAUAAUUACUACGCAUUCCUUAUUCAGUCUUUUAACAAUGAUUAUGUUUGGUAUGAUGGUAAGUGUCCGAGCGAUAGAGCGACUGCAAAUCAUGAGAUGUCUGUACCGCUCAUGAAGAGGGCAGUUCCAGAGAACAUGAUCAAGGUCCGUCCAUGGAAAUGUUGCCAUCUCCUCUACAUUUGGAGAUAUUCAUCAAAAACUGAUAAAUUGCUAUCGUACAAACUGGUCUGGAUGCUGCGGCUGUGAUCCAUCACUCUCUGAGCGAAGAAACAUAUGACGAAGAAGCGUGAUAAGACGGUAAAGACGUAAAGGCCGUAUUGUAUACUCUCUCCAAUUCUAUCCAAAUGGCGGGCCGUCUGUGGAAUCAAUUUGAAUUUUUGUAUAAACAGUUUGUAGAGGACGAGAUUUUACGAGACGCGAGGAAUUUUAUAGUGAUGCCAUGGAGUUGGAAAAUUUGGCAAUAGAAAAUAUUCAAAGGCAUCACGUCCAGUCAGUAAAAUACUGGCCCAAGAGUAAAGCUACUUUAACACAUCCGCACGGAAUAGUUCAUUUCCAACCUAAGGAAGUAAAAUACCAUGGGAUGCGUCAGAAAAAUCUCACCUGCAAUCCAAUUAUGCUAAUAUUAAUAGCCGAUACUCCCAGUAGAACCAUAUUAUUCCAGAGAAAUGUACUGUCCAGUAGUUUUGUAAAUCUGUCCAAUAAAAAAAUUAAUU